GUGGAUAGGGUGAAAUUGCUGCUGCACCAGAUAGAGGAGUCCACUGUAACCAUGCCAACAACACUGACACAGUCAGACAGGACCAGAGUAACACCAAACACAACUGCAGACAUGGUUGAUGAAUGGAUCUUCCUGGUUAGCAUAUUUCCCCCACACAAGUCCUCAUUAAAGCCUAUUGUAGCCAAUUACACUGUCAACAGGAGCUGUAAUCUCAGAGGUCCUCAAAACACCCACAUUACACUGUCCACAGGAGCUGUAAUCUCAGAGGUCCUCAAAACACCCACAUUACACUGUCAACAGGAGCUGUAAUCUCAGUGGUCCUCAAAACACCCACAUUACACUGUCCACAGGAGCUGUAAUCUCAGAGGUCCUCAAAACACCCACAUUACACUGUCAACAGGAGCUGUAAUCUCAGUGGUCCUCAAAACACCCACAUUACACUGUCAACAGGAGCUGUAAUCUCAGAGGUCCUCAAAACACCCACAUUACACUGUCAACAGGAGCUGUAAUCUCAGAGGUCCUCAACACCCACAUUACACUGUCAACAGGAGCUGUAAUCUCAGUGGUCCUCAACACCCACAUUACACUGUCAACAGGAGCUGUAAUCUCAGUGGUCCUCAACACACCCACAUUACACUGUCAACAGGAGCUGUAAUCUCAGAGGUCCUCAAAACACCCACAUUACACUGUCAACAGGAGCUGUAAUCUCAGUGGUCCUCAACACACCCACAUUACACUGUCAACAGGAGCUGUAAUCUCAGAGGUCCUCAACACCCACAUUACACUGUCAACAGGAGCUGUAAUCUCAGAGGUCCUCAAAACACCCACAUUACACUGUCAACAGGAGCUGUAAUCUCAGAGGUCCUCAAAACACCCACAUUACACUGUCAACAGGAGCUGUAAUCUCAGAGGUCCUCAAAACACCCACAUUACACUGUCAACAGGAGCUGUAAUCUCAGAGGUCCUCAAAACACCCACAUUACACUGUCAACAGGAGCUGUAAUCUCAGAGGUCCUCAAAACACCCACAUUACACUGUCAACAGGAGCUGUAAUCUCAGAGGUCCUCAAAACACCCACAUUACACUGUCAACAGGAGCUGUAAUCUCAGUGGUCCUCAACACACCCACAUUACACUGUCAACAGGAGCUGUAAUCUCAGAGGUCCUCAACACACCCACAUUACACUGUCAACAGGAGCUGUAAUCUCAGUGGUCCUCAACACCCACAUUACACUGUCAACAGGAGCUGUAAUCUCAGUGGUCCUCAACACCCACAUUACACUGUCAACAGGAGCUGUAAUCUCAGUGGUCCUCAACACACCCACAUUACACUGUCAACAGGAGCUGUAAUCUCAGAGGUCCUCAACACACCCACAUUACACUGUCAACAGGAGCUGUAAUCUCAGUGGUCCUCAACACACCCACAUUUCACUGUCAACAGGAGCUGUAAUCUCAGUGGUCACAUUUCCUGCGGAAACGAUAAUCGUCCUCUCGCUCUGUGCUUAGCAAGCAGCAGACGAUCUCCGAGAGGCUACGUGAAUAUCUUUUCCUAAUUACUACCCAGUUCCUCUCUGAUUUUCCUCCACAAAUUGGCACCCCUAGUCCCUAUUUAGCGCACUACUUUUGACCAGAACUGAACACUAUUAUCAGGGAAUAGGGUGCCAUUUGGGAUCCGCUCUCCGAUCCAGAGGGAACAGAACAGAAACAGUAAGAGCUCCAAUAAUUACACAACCCUUAACGCCCCCUUAACGAACUUCAAAAGGGAUGGUUUUACAGGCCGGUGCCGAACCGGAACGGCAAUUAUGAAAAACAAACCAUAUUAAUGAUAUCGUUUAUCAUUUCCACACUUCGGGGGAAGCGAAAGCGGACGCUUGGCGCCUGAACACAAAAGCAUCUACACGCGUAUAUCAACGAGCCUUCGCUAAAAAUACCACAUCUACUCCGUGGAGUGGUCCGAUUUUCCAUCCAAACACACAGGCUGUUGAAUUCUUCCCAAAAAUACGCAGGCCUAUAUAUCCAACAGCUAAAAACCCAGAUGGAGGGAUUGU
Long non-coding RNA from Oncorhynchus keta (chum salmon), 2047 nucleotides. RefSeq lists it as uncharacterized. The transcript is spliced from 5 exons. NCBI's taxonomy places the organism in Eukaryota, Metazoa, Chordata, Actinopteri, Salmoniformes, Salmonidae. The record is from RefSeq and is a predicted model, not a curated record.